AUGGCCUUUGCUCUGCGCCUCCUCCUCCUGCUCCUCCUGGCAGUGGCCCUGCCUGACAGGGCUGCCCAGGCUGCUCCGCAGCGAGCACAGGGAGCAGAUUGGAAUCACAACUUGCAUUAUCCAGAGGCCCUGCUGGAUGACGGCUUGAAACACUUGAGAAAUGCUGGAGGUAAGUUCUCAAUGGUCCUUUCCUGGCAGAAUAAGCAGUUUCAAUGUCCUGGCACCACUGCAGGUGUCAGAACAGAGACAUACACGUGUGUGCCCUCGCCCAUCGCGUUCCCCUCACCUCUCCCAUGGCUCAGUGCUGCCUGUGCAGA
This 317-nucleotide long non-coding RNA is filed under the name Cyanistes caeruleus (blue tit). Its description in RNAcentral is "lncRNA (ENSCCEG00000018073.1)". Lineage: Eukaryota; Metazoa; Chordata; Aves; Passeriformes; Paridae. The record is from RNAcentral.